Molecule: long non-coding RNA, 3533 nt
Organism: Lytechinus pictus (painted urchin)
Lineage: Eukaryota; Metazoa; Echinodermata; Echinoidea; Temnopleuroida; Toxopneustidae
Exons: 3
Source: RefSeq, a predicted model, not a curated record
GACCCAGUUUUGAACAAACAUGUAACCUUAUACCUUCGUCUGUUCCAUACCAUUUCCAGUUCAGCCCGAUUAUGCAUGGCGCUCAUCUGCACACAUACGCAUAGACAAACAAGGCUGGGAUGGAGAGGGAGAGAGAGAGAGAGAGAGAGAGAAAACGCCAACCUGUUUCCAUUGUAUCACAAACAAUGCCCCAACUUUACUCACCCUCAGUUUCAAAGAACAAAAAUCUUCCUAACAAUAAUCACCCUUAUUCAUUGGACUACGCCCCGCAAAAGUUACCGAACUGUGGCGAAAGCUUUUCAAAGUUUACAGCGCAGUACACAGAAUGCGUUUACGUCGCAGUUAGCUAGCUGGUGCACUGAAAUUGUGUUAACGUUUCGCCAUUUUGUUUCUGGAGGAUUUUAUUUGGUAGAGGCGUUGCCAAUAUUUUCACCUUUCCUAAAUCUUCUCAGAGGAAACGACUUGUCUUCAUUUCUGCCAAUUUUUAUUCCUGUGUUGGAAAAUUAACAACAGAAAAGAUGGGUUUCAACAUCGUCGCAGCUCUUAUUGUAUUUCUUGGGAUGUGUGGAGCAGCCAACGCUGACCUCACGACACAAAUCUACACAUGGGGUGAGGUGUCCGCCGGCGUCGCCGGCGUCGUUGCCAUCCUGGUCGCGAUCCUCGGCAUCUCGAGAUGCGUCCACGAGUUCACCUGCCGCAACUACCAGAACGAACCCGAGGCCCUCCGAUCCAUCGCCAUCGGACGGGGAGAGAACACCAAGCUGUAGAGAGAUGGUGGGGGGUAAUACCCACCAGGGCGUGGUCACUUCAGGGGUGUGAGGGAGGGUCGAACAGGUGUAAGGGGGUGCAAGAUCGGAGGUCACUAUGCGCAGAUUGAUAUACGCUGUGCAACGAAUAAGUACGAGAUCAGGGCGCGGGGGGGGGGGGGGUGGCUUCUAUGCUCAUGAUAUCUGACAAUGGGAAAUCGGGGGGGGGGGCGGUCAAUAGGAGAGUGUGGCUGAAGGGGAAGAGACAAUGAAAGGGAGAUUCUAAAACUCGAAGGGUAAAAAUAUGUGAUUUACAAAGGGAUGGGUUAAAGGAUGUGGCGGACAGGGGGGGGGGGGGGGGGUUAAAGGCAAAGAAUGGGACAGUGGGCCGGGGGCUCUAUAAAUUAAAUUUGGAAGGGGUUCGUCAAUCAUCAUGAUGACAUGGGCCCAUGACGUCAUCAUAGCCGCUAUCGGGCAUUACCGGCUACAUGUACAAAAAGUACCAUGUCCGCCGAGAGAUUUACAUGUAAUUCAAGAAUUCAAUGGCGAACUGUCAAAAAGAAGGGGAAAAGGCGGUGCAUUAAUGUGAUGCAAAACACAAACAGAUAAACAUGACAAGUUUCUGCCUCACCCAUUGAUUUCAUGUGCUGAAACAGUAUCUCAUGAGGAUUAAAAAAAGUGUAUGAUUAUUUUGUAAUUUUCUUUCAUCCAAUCGUAUUCAACCGAUUGUUCAUGUACCGUGUGUGGGGUUAAGAUAUCCGUCAUUGUGCCUCAGUCACACGAACGAAACCGAUUCCAAACCGAUCGAUGCUAAUGUCAUUGGUAAGAAUGUAAUAGCUUUGAUCGGUCUGGAAUCGGUUUCAGGAGUGUGACUGCAGCACGAUGCUGGGUCACACCAACAUAACCGACUCCAAACCGAUCGAUGGUAUGUCAUUGGUAAUAACGUGAUAGUUUUGAUCGGUCUGGAGUCGGUUUCUGAAGUGUGACUGGGUCAUUCUAUUGUAUAUACUGCAUGUCUUGUAUGUCAUCUUUCAAAUAUCCAGUACUAGUAGAAAAAUGAGAGAAAAAUGUAGAUUUUAAAAUAGAUAUAUCUGUUGUAUUUGCACAUGUAGAAAUCUUUUUUAUUCACUUCUAGUCAUACAGAACACUAUGUCUUUUUAAGGUGUUUAUUAUGAUUAUUCAGAACGAAAUGUUUCGAACAAAGUUUUAUAUAAUUAUGUAUAGAGCUAUUUGAAAGUAAGUUCAUUUAUUUGAAUUUCAGGGAUCCAAAAUGCGUCUUUAUUUUGAUAUUUAACUCUGUCAUUGAAAUCAUGCUCUAUUUCGCAUUGCCUCCCGUCAUAAAGGUAUGCAAUAAUGAAUAAAAACAAUGUUCAAAGUCCCCUCAACUUGGAGGUUAUUACAAUUUUAACUUUGAUCAUAAAUCACGUCCAAUGUCACACCUAAAACUAUAUUUCCCCGUACGAAAGCAAGCUUGAGGCUUUUUAUAUCAUUGCCCCUAAAAUAUUAUGGUUUUAUUAUGAAGUAUAAAGAUUGAAAAUUUGAUAUUCAGCUCAAGUCAUGUAGAUUUGUGUUAAACAUGUUAAACGACCUGUGUUAUUGUUUAAUUUGUGUAGAAACUCCAUUUCGUUUUUUUAUUCAGUCUUUAUAUAGUGUUUUAUUCUUUCACUUACAUGUAUUAUAAGGAGAUUUAGGAGUGAGCUUUUUGGCUGAAAAUGAAUGGAAAGUAUAAUGAACAAAAAUUAGUUUGUAUCCUAACAUUUCUUCCAUCUACAUCGCGAUAAAUAAACUUGCACACAUCUUUCUUUAGAUAUUUAAAUGUUUAACAAAUUAAAGGAGUUCAUAAAAACAUGGUUGCCCAUACUUCAAUCAUUGUUAUUUCCCCAUUUCAAUGUAAAGUGAUAUUCGGAGUCUUUACUUUACAAGAACUGAUUUUUUAGAGUAUCGCCUUUCCUGAUUUUUCUUUUUUUCCCCUUGUAAUGUUGAAAUUUGUUACGUCAAUCGGUAGAUUAUACUUGCUGGAAAGAACGCGUUGUCAUGCUGUGUGUUCGUAAUGCGACACAGUGUCAUACAAUGUGUAUUCAGUGUGUUCACAGUGUGUACACACCGUUUGCAGCGCAACACAGUGUGUUCACAGUGUGUACACAUUUUUCGCAGUUUGUGUGUGUGUUUUGGCAGUGUGUUCACAAUUCCAGUGUUUUCAAAGUCUUACACAGUGAGUUUACAGUGUGUUCACUCUGUUCAGAGUCACACAGUGUUUGCAGUACGACACAGUGUGUCAGCAUGUUUGCUGUGUGUUCAGUGUCAUACAGUGCACGUGUACACAAUUUGUUCAAAGUAUGACACAGCGAGUGUAUACCGUGUUCACAGUGUCACGUAGUGAUUUUUUUUCAGAGUCACGCAUUGAGUUUACAGUAUGUUCACAGUGUGGGCUUUGUGAAGAUGUCUUUUACCCAGUUAAAAUGCACAAAUUCAAAUCAUCAUGCAGAUAAUCUCACACUUUGGUCACACCAACAGCGUGAUUGUUCACAGUGUGAACUACUUGAAGAUGUGAGUCACAGUGCUCAAGUGUUCAUAUGUAAUCACAGUGCAUGUGAAGAUAAUGUCACACUGCAUCUCACGCACUGUUAACACACUGCGUGACAUUGCGUUCUUCCCAGCACAGGGAUGAAGGUGGUUUUUUUUAGAUUUCAUUGUCCUUUUGUGCCAUUAAGUGUCUUUUAUAGAAUUUUUAAAAAGUAAUUAAACAUAAUUGUUGAUUAAAAUCUUUGAUGAAUUUUUAAUAUGAAA